GGGGGUAUAGCUCAAAUGGUUAGAGCGAUCGCCUGUCGAGCGAUAGGUUGCGAGUUCGAUUCUCGUUACUCCCG
This is a transfer RNA of Nostoc sp. PCC 7107, 74 nucleotides long. It matches the Rfam family "tRNA". Rfam says of the family: Transfer RNA (tRNA) molecules are approximately 80 nucleotides in length. Their secondary structure includes four short double-helical elements and three loops (D, anti-codon, and T loops). Further hydrogen bonds mediate the characteristic L-shaped molecular structure. tRNAs have two regions of fundamental functional importance: the anti-codon, which is responsible for specific mRNA codon recognition, and the 3' end, to which the tRNAs corresponding amino acid is attached (by aminoacyl-tRNA synthetases). tRNAs cope with the degeneracy of the genetic code in two manners: having more than one tRNA (with a specific anti-codon) for a particular amino acid; and 'wobble' base-pairing, i.e. permitting non-standard base-pairing at the 3rd anti-codon position. The record is from Rfam. NCBI's taxonomy places the organism in Bacteria, Bacillati, Cyanobacteriota, Cyanophyceae, Nostocales, Nostocaceae.